This 543-nucleotide long non-coding RNA is filed under the name Chloebia gouldiae (Gouldian finch). Its description in RNAcentral is "Erythrura gouldiae (Gouldian finch) lncRNA (ENSEGOG00005010841.1)". The record is from RNAcentral. Lineage: Eukaryota; Metazoa; Chordata; Aves; Passeriformes; Passeridae.
CUCCACCCAUUCCUCCAAAGCCACAUAUUCCUCCUCCUCCUCCUCCACCCAUUCCACCCCCAAAACUGCCAAGACCCCCGUAGCUCCCGCCAAAGCUGCCCAUCCUGCUGCCAUACCCACCACCAUAGCACCCACCCAUGGACAUCCUGGCACUGCCCCCCCAUGUUGUGGAGGCUCCGGCUGCCAAAGCCCCCGCACCGUCCUCCACCUCCGAAUCCCCUGGACACAGAGUACGAGCUGUAGCUGCUCCUGCUCCUGCUGCCACCUCCAAAGCCACCACCGAUUGCAGAGCAGGAGCAGCUACAGCUCGUACUCUGUGUCCAGGGGAUUCGGAGGUGGAGGACGGUGCGGGGGCUUUGGCAGCCGGAGCCUCCACAACAUGGGGGGGCAGUGCCAGGAUGUCCAUGGGUGGGUGCUAUGGUGGUGGGUAUGGCAGCAGGAUGGGCAGCUUUGGCGGGAGCUACGGGGGUCUUGGCAGUUUUGGGGGUGGAAUGGGUGGAGGAGGAGGAGGAGGAAUAUGUGGCUUUGGAGGAAUGGGUGGAG